UUAAUUAAAACCAAAAAGAGGUAAAUUAUUGUUAAUAAUUUCAUUGAAAAAUUUCUAAUUAAA
RNAcentral lists this transfer RNA (63 nucleotides) under Hylaeus dilatatus. RNAcentral's name for it is "tRNA-Asn". The record is from RNAcentral. Lineage: Eukaryota; Metazoa; Arthropoda; Insecta; Hymenoptera; Colletidae.